Molecule: ribosomal RNA, 512 nt
Filed under: uncultured fungus
Lineage: Eukaryota; Fungi
Also listed under: 1 other name
Description: SSU rRNA
Rfam family: Eukaryotic small subunit ribosomal RNA
Source: RNAcentral
AGCAGCCGCGGUAAUUCCAGCUCCAAUAGCGUAUAUUAAAGUUGUUGCAGUUAAAAAGCUCGUAGUUGAACUUCAGGCCUGGCUGGGCGGUCCGCCUUCCGGGCGAGUACUGCCUGUGGUCGGGUCCUACCUUCUGGCGAAGCGUCAUGGCCUUAACCGGCCGUGGCGGGGAACCAGGACUUUUACUGUGAAAAAAUUAGAGUGUUCAAAGCAGGCACGCGCUUGAAUACAUUAGCAUGGAAUAAUGGAAUAGGACAGUGGUUCUAUUUGUUGGUUUCUAGGACCGUUGUAAUGAUUAAUAGGGAUAGUUGGGGGCAUUAGUAUUCAAUUGUCAGAGGUGAAAUUCUUGGAUUUAUUGAAGACUAACUACUGCGAAAGCAUUUGCCAAGGAUGUUUUCAUUAAUCAAGAACGAAAGUUAGGGGAUCGAAGACGAUCAGAUACCGUCGUAGUCUUAACCAUAAACUAUGCCGACUAGGAAUCGGGCGAUGUUGACAAAAUGACGCGCUCGGCA